RNAcentral lists this transfer RNA (77 nucleotides) under Flavobacteriales bacterium. RNAcentral's name for it is "tRNA-Met". It matches the Rfam family "tRNA". Rfam says of the family: Transfer RNA (tRNA) molecules are approximately 80 nucleotides in length. The record is from RNAcentral. Lineage: Bacteria; Pseudomonadati; Bacteroidota; Flavobacteriia; Flavobacteriales.
GGGCCUAUAGCUCAGUUGGUUAGAGCGCCGGACUCAUAAUCCGUCGGUCCGGGGUUCAAGUCCCCGUGGGCCCACUA